UAGACGGGUGAGUAAUACAUAGGUAACCUACCCUUAAGAUGGGGAUAACCUUCCGAAAGGAGGGCUAAUACCGAAUGAGACCACAGUGACACAUGUCACAGGGGUUAAAGAUGGCCUCUAUUUAUAAGCUAUUACUUAAGGAUGGGCUUAUGCACCAUUAGCCUGUUGGUAGGGUAACGGCCUACCAAAGCUAUGAUGGUUAACUGAUCUGAGAGGUUGAUCAGUCACACUGGAACUGAGACACGGUCCAGACUCCUACGGGAGGCAGCAGUAGGGAAUAUUGCGCAAUGGAGGAAACUCUGACGCAGCGACGCCGCGUGGGUGAUGAAGGCCUUCGGGUUGUAAAGCCCUGUCGGAAGGGAAGAAAAACAUUAUGGCUAAUAUCCAUAGUGCUUGACGGUACCUUUAAAGGAAGCACCGGCUAACUACGUGCCAGCAGCCGCGGUAAUACGUAGGGUGCUAGCGUUGUUCGGAAUCAUUGGGCGUAAAAGCGCGUGUAGGCUGUUUAUUAAGUCGGGUGUGAAAGCCCUCGGCUCAAACCGAGGAAGUGCAUCCGAAACUAAUAAACCUAGAAGACGGUAGAGGAAGGUGGAAUUCCAAGUGUAGAGGUGAAAUUCGUAGAUAUUUGGAGGAAUACCGGUGGCGAAGGCGGCCCUUCUGGGCCGUUCUUGACGCUGAGACGCGAAAGCGUGGGUAGCAAACAGGAUUAGAUACCCUGGUAGUCCACGCCGUAAACGAUGGGUACUAGGUGUUGUGGGAAUUGACCCCUACAGUGCCGUAGCUAACGCAAUAAGUACCCCGCCUGGGAAGUACGGCCGCAAGGUUAAAACUCAAAGGAAUUGACGGGGGCCCGCACAAGCGGUGGAGCAUGUGGUUUAAUUCGAUGCAACGCGAAGAACCUUACCUGGGUUUGACAUCCCUAGACAGCCGUAGAGAUACGGUUUCCCCUUCGGGGGCUAGGAGACAGGUGCUGCAUGGCUGUCGUCAGCUCGUAUCGUGAGAUGUCGGGUUAAGUCCCUUAACGAGCGCAACCCUUAUCCCUAGUUGCCAUCAUUCAGUUGGGCACUCUAUGGAGACUGCCGGUGUUAAACCGGAGGAAGGCGGGGAUGACGUCAAGUCCUCAUGGCCUUUAUAUCCAGGGUACACACGUGCUACAAUGGCCGGUACA
This 1168-nucleotide ribosomal RNA is filed under the name uncultured bacterium. RNAcentral describes it as "bacterial SSU rRNA". It matches the Rfam family "Bacterial small subunit ribosomal RNA", at positions 99 to 1241 of the family's 1533-position model. The record is from RNAcentral.